CCUACGGGAGGCAGCAGUGGGGAAUAUUGGACAAUGGGCGAAAGCCUGAUCCAGCCAUGCCGCGUGUGUGAAGAAGGCCUUCGGGUUGUAAAGCACUUUCAGUGGGGAAGAAAGCCUUGGGGCUAAUACCCUCGAGGAAGGACAUCACCCACAGAAGAAGCACCGGCUAACUCCGUGCCAGCAGCCGCGGUAAUACGGAGGGUGCGAGCGUUAAUCGGAAUUACUGGGCGUAAAGCGCGCGUAGGCGGUCUGAUAAGCCGGUUGUGAAAGCCCCGGGCUCAACCUGGGAACGGCAUCCGGAACUGUCAGGCUAGAGUGCAGGAGAGGAAGGUAGAAUCCCCGGUGUAGCGGUGAAAUGCGUAGAGAUCGGGAGGAAUCCCAGUGGCGAAGGCGGCCUUCUGGACUGACACUGACGCUGGGGUGCGAAAGCGUGGGUAGCAAACAGGAAUAGAUACCCGUUAGU
RNAcentral lists this ribosomal RNA (463 nucleotides) under Vreelandella stevensii. Its description in RNAcentral is "partial 16S ribosomal RNA". It matches the Rfam family "Bacterial small subunit ribosomal RNA", at positions 338 to 794 of the family's 1533-position model. Lineage: Bacteria; Pseudomonadati; Pseudomonadota; Gammaproteobacteria; Oceanospirillales; Halomonadaceae. The record is from RNAcentral.